This is a long non-coding RNA of Cyprinus carpio (common carp), 1281 nucleotides long. Lineage: Eukaryota; Metazoa; Chordata; Actinopteri; Cypriniformes; Cyprinidae. The record is from Ensembl.
ACAAUGAAAAUGCAGGCAGAUCACAGGCAUCCACUGCAGAUGGUGGUCUGCGAUACUCAAUCGUUUUUCCCAAAUUUAAGCAUGGCGAAUUCAUGGUGAGAGCUCUGAAGAGUAAUCCUACCACAGGCUACAUUGACAAAUUAAUGGAGCUGCUGUUCCACCACGUCGUGGAAGACCCUCAACCAUACCUGGACUUCUCUGGACAGAUGACUGUACCAGAAAAACUGUGUGAUCAGUUUAUUCGGCCCGACAAGGAGCAGACAUGGGUCAAGGAUCUUUGAAAACACAUGAAGUCUGUGAGGUCCAUCUCUAAUCGUGAACUGAGUAUCGGAUUGGUGCAUCCCUACUUUAUGGAAUCAGCCUGUUUAACACUGGCUCUUACUUUUUAGCACUGUAGUCACCAAUAAGUUCAGAAAGUCCAUCAAACACAAGGUAAAGAACUACUUCAAGCUUGGUAUGGAUGUUAUACCCACUCUGCCAGCUGGGUCAUGUCUGUCAUUACAAUAUUGAACAAAAUGGUUUUCAAAUUUAGAUGGCAGAAAUAGGUUGGUACAUAUUCAUUUUGAGUUUUGUAGCUGAUUUUUUGAUUAUUAUUAUUGUGUACUGUUACUCAAGUUAAAAAUGCUUCUUUAUAAUUCAUUUUAAUUUAAUUUUAAUAUAAUACAAAUAUAUUCAAAAAUGCAGUGGGGGAAGGAAACCUCAGUAUGGUCCUUCUUCAGGAAACUCUUCCCUGAUUCGUGUCACAGCGCAUGAAGGUAUGACCACCUGAAUGUGUUGGCCAAGUUACCCCCAACACCACCUUACGACAUUGCGAUUUGCAAGGUGUCUAUAAAUGCUGAAAGAGAGGUGAUACACAUGUAUGUUGAAGUGGAGGGUAAAAAAAUGUUUUAUUUAUUUUUAAAUGCAUUUAAUUUUUUCCUAUUUAUUUAUAUAAACAGUGGCAGUAGUUUGGUGUGAGAGCAUCUGCAUGUACAGUGAGGCCAAGACUUUUGGGCAAUGGCCUGGUCUCAAGAAGGGCAGCAAAGAAGCCACUUCUCUCCAAGAAAAACCUCAAGGACAGACUGAAAUUCUCCAGGAAGUACAAGGAUUGGACAGCAGAAGACUGGUGCAAAGUUAUUUUCUCUGAUGAAGCUCCCUUCUGACUGUUUGGAACAUCUGGAAAAUCGUUUGUUUCGAGAAGAAUAGGUGAACGCUUCCAUGAGUCCUGUGACAAGCCAACAGUGAAGCAUCCUGAGACCAUCCAGGUGAGGGGUUGCUCUUCAACCAAGGGAGUGAGCUCUC